Molecule: non-coding RNA, 2959 nt
Organism: Paramuricea clavata
Lineage: Eukaryota; Metazoa; Cnidaria; Anthozoa; Malacalcyonacea; Plexauridae
Source: the annotation of a GenBank genome assembly
UGUCGCCAUCACAAUUGUUUUCAAACCAGUUUCGACUGAUCACUGUGACAAUUUUUUAACGGCUUCUUGAUUUGCUGGGAUUUCUUGCAGGAUGUCUGAUGAAAACAACAAAGUAAAGAUUGCAGAGUAUGGCUCAUGGUCAAGUCCUAUAACAUCUGAAAUAGCUGUACAAGAUGGUGGUCUGCCGUUUCCGUGUGUCUCUGAAAUACACACAUCUGAAAACGCAAACAACGAAGGUAUAGAGUCGAGAUACAGAAAGUGCUAUAACCAUUCAUUUUAUAGUUUCUAUGUAAACCUGCAUUCCGUGUGAACCGGCUGUCAAGUUGAACGCCGGUCCAGGCUAUUGCAGUCACCACCUGACUUUCCAUUUCGCAUUACAUUACGAUUCAAUUUUUCUAAAAUAAAUAUCUCGGCGAGUAUUUACCCCCCUUAAACAAAACCCACCAUUGUAGCUAAUACUCACAAAAUAACCUUUCGAACGGGGGGUCAAGUGCCGUCAAAACAUUACGCAAACAGAAACAAUCAUAUAUUAUAGUCACCUCUUCGCCAAACAUUCAAAAGAGAAAAAGUUGAAUAUAUUCUAAACUUGUCGUCAUUUUCUGAAAGGCUAUAUGUGUAAAAUACUCUUUGUAUUCAAGCGCUUUCGUGUAGAAAGUUUCGUAUGUAUACGGCGACUAGAAAUAUUUAUUUUGAAUUUUUAAAGUAUCGGGUUUUACUCGCACGCGCUUGUAUUACGUAAUACUUGGCCAAUAAGGGAGCUCCUUUAGCCGGGAUGACGUAAAACUCGCGCGUAUGGGUACACUUUGACCUGUAGAAUCCAUUUCUGGCAUUUCCAGAGUCACGCGAUACAAGCGUAGCAUUGUUUUGACGGUUUUUCGUGGUAUUUCCGGUUGGGAUUAACGCAAAUUCGGAGCAGAAAUGUAAAAUUCGGCACUAAAAGUCACACUUUAAAGUACGGAAGCCCAGAGGCGACAGCAUAAAAUCACUUUUGUAUUUUACAUUUUUGUGUUUUAUAUUUUGUAUUUUUGUGUUUUAUAUUUUGUAUUUUAUAUUUUGUAUUUUAUAUUUUGUAUUUUAUAUUUUUGUGUAAUUAUAAUGUUCUUAGACGUGGGAUUAAUUUAUAGUCAUUUAGUAAUACAAAUUGUGAUAUUUAACAACAAUACAUAUGUCAAAAUAUGAUUACAAGCUAUAGUAUAGAGACAUUGUAUUUUGACUGCGCGAAAUGCGUGUUACAUACUGAACGCUUGUUUAAAGAGCAUUACUGAACGCGCAUUACUAAGAUACACAUACCGAAUUCGCCAUGCAGACAUUAGCAUUACUCCCGUAACUGUAAGGCUCAGUUCAGACUGCGACAUUUUCAAGCGCUUCAUUUCUUACGGCACAACCGCACAAGUUCGGCAACUGAUUUAGAGUUUAGACGUCGCUCUUCUAGAUCUGUCGUACUUAUAAAUCGUUGUAUUACGGGCGGCGCAUGAGAAAGUUUGCCGUCUAAACCGAGUCUAAGGCUGUCUGCAUGGCGAAUUCGGUAUCCGCAUCUCAGUUAUUGAUAUGCGCGCGAUUAAUGCUCUUUAUUUAAACAAUCGUUUAGUACGUAACACGCAUUUCGCGCAGUAAAAUACAAUGUCUCUAUAUGACUCUAUAUUGCUUGUAUUCCUUGUAAUCAUGUUUGUCAAAUGCAUUGUUGUAUAAAAGUAAAAAGCUGGGCUGAAACAUAAUAUAAACUAAGUAAAAUUAUAAAAGUAAAAAAACAUAAAAGUGAAAAUAUAAAAGUGAAAAUAUAAAAGUGAAAAUAUAAAAGUGAAAAUAUAAAAGUGAAAAUAUAAAAGUGAAAAUAUAAAAGUGAAAAUAUAAAAGUGAAAAUAUAAAAGUGAAAAUAUAAAAGUGAAAACAUAAAAGUGAAAAUAUAAAAGUUAAAGUUGGAGAUGAGCGUCUAAGCAGGAAGACCACCUGGGGCUGUGGGAUGUGAUUCAGUAUUUCAUUGAUGUCUGACUUGCAACCGAAAGACACGAUAUCGUUGGCUGCUGACAUGGCCGGAAUUCCACUGCGUAUCGCAGUAAAACCGAAUCCAGCUUUCGGGUAUGUAACCGUCUUUAUACGCAUGGCCUAAAAACUUUCUUACUGCCAAAAUAAGUUGUGCCUAAAACUGUGAAAGUGAAAAUAUAAAAGUUAAAAUAUAAAAGUUAAAAGUGAAAAUAUAAAAGUGAAAAUAUAAAAGUGAAAAUAUAAAAGUGAAAAUAUAAAAGUGAAAAUAUAAAAGUAAAAAUAUAAAAGUGAAAAUAUAAAAGUGAAAAUAUAAAAGUGAAAAUAUAAAAGUGAAAAUAUAAAAGUGAAAAUAUAAAAGUAAAGUUAGAAAUGAGCGUCUAAGCAGGAAGACCACCUGGGGCUAUGGUAUGUGAGGCUGUAGAUAAAAGGCGGACGACGGACGACGGAGCAUUUUAUAAACACAUGAUUACUACCGCAACUAAUUAUAAUACCCUAUAAAUGAAAGUACACCAGCCUUAGAUCUGUGAAAUGAAUAUGUUUUCACCCGUUCGAAUUUUUAGCCAUGGAAUUUAAUUUAAUCAGCAUUCAAUAUGUAUGUAUGAUAGGAGGCUAUUCGCCGUCUUUCGCGUGAAACUUUUGGAAAUAUUGUAAAAAAGCGCGGCUUAGUUUUGGUGCUUCUGUAUAUAACUGCCCUAGCACUGCCAUUGAAUUUAAAUAUUAUUAGGCGGGACUAUUACAUGACAUUCACUUGCUGUCAUUUUCAUACUUUACAUUGUGCUGACCUAGCCUCCUCCGCAGGCAUCGCUUUUCGAUUAUCAGACAAAGCGCUGACCUAUAAUCCCCGUUUUACUUACUAAAAGGCUAACACGUGCCAAGGUCCAUUCAUGUGAGUGCUUAUACACAUUACUAUUCCACUGUGUAUAAAUGUAGAACGAAAUUAUAACCUUCCCUAAGCCUUUCAAAUACAUUUAAAAUA